CAAACGACUCUCGGCAACGGAUAUCUCGGCUCACGCAUCGAUGAAGAACGUAGCAAAAUGCGAUACUUGGUGUGAAUUGCAGAAUCCCGUGAACCAUCGAGUUUUUGAACGCAAGUUGCGCCCAAAGCCAUUCGGCCGAGGGCACGCCUGCCUGGGCGUCACGC
This 164-nucleotide ribosomal RNA is filed under the name Schlechtendalia luzulifolia. Its description in RNAcentral is "5.8S ribosomal RNA". It matches the Rfam family "5.8S ribosomal RNA". Rfam says of the family: 5.8S ribosomal RNA (5.8S rRNA) is a component of the large subunit of the eukaryotic ribosome. Lineage: Eukaryota; Viridiplantae; Streptophyta; Magnoliopsida; Asterales; Asteraceae. The record is from RNAcentral. RNAcentral also lists the same sequence under 2 other names.